RNAcentral lists this ribosomal RNA (253 nucleotides) under uncultured bacterium. RNAcentral's name for it is "partial 16S ribosomal RNA". It matches the Rfam family "Bacterial small subunit ribosomal RNA", at positions 524 to 776 of the family's 1533-position model. The record is from RNAcentral.
UACAGAGGAUGCAAGCGUUAUCCGGAAUGAUUGGGCGUAAAGCAUCUGUAGGUGACUUUUUAAGUCCGCCGUCAAAUCCUAGGGCUCAACCCUGGACAGGCGGUGGAAACUACCAAGCCGGAGUACGGUAGGGGUAGAGGGAAUUUUCGGUGGAGCGGUGAAAUGCGUAGAAAUCGAAAAGAACACCAACGACGAAAGCACUCUGCUGGGCCGACAAUGACACUGAGAGACGAAAGCUAGGGGAGCGAAUGGG